This 64-nucleotide transfer RNA is filed under the name Rena humilis (western threadsnake). RNAcentral describes it as "Arg-tRNA". Lineage: Eukaryota; Metazoa; Chordata; Lepidosauria; Squamata; Leptotyphlopidae. The record is from RNAcentral.
UCGAGAGUAGUCUAUAACAAGACAUUUGAUUUCGACUCAAAAGACCUUUAACCAAGCCCUCGCU